Molecule: long non-coding RNA, 1420 nt
Organism: Pygocentrus nattereri (red-bellied piranha)
Lineage: Eukaryota; Metazoa; Chordata; Actinopteri; Characiformes; Serrasalmidae
Source: Ensembl
AUGGGACAGGCUGGGCUGAAGAUACUCUCUGGGAAGCAGAUGGGACAGGCUGGGCUGAAGCCACACGUUGGUAGCUGCUCGCUACAGGUUGAGCUGAAGCCACGUGUUGGUAGCUGCUCGCUACAGGCUGGGCGGAAGCCACCUUUUGGUAGCUGCUCGCUACAGGCUGGGCGGAAGCCACCUUUUGGUAGCUGCUCGCUCCAGGCUGGGCUGAAGAUACUCUCUGGGAAGCAGAUGGGAAAGGCGGGGCGGAAGCCACCUGUUGGUAGCUGCUCGCUACAGGCUGGGCUGAAGAUACUCUCUGGGAAGCAGAUGGGACAGGCUGGGCUGAAGCCAUGCGUUGGUAGCUGCUCGCUACAGGCUGGGCGGAAGCCACGUGUUGGUAGCUGCUCGCUACAGGCUGGGCGGAAGCCACCUUUUGGUAGCUGCUCGCUACAGGCUGGGCGGAAGCCACCUGUUGGUAGCUGCUCGCUACAGGCUGGGCGGACGAUACUCUCUGGGAAGCAGAUGGGACAGGCUGGGCUGAAGCCACGCGUUGGUAGCUGCUCGCUACAGGCUGGGCGGAAGCAACCUGUUGGUAGCCGCUCGCUACAGGCCGGGCGGAAGCAACCUGUUGGUAGCCGCUCGCUACAGGCCGGACUGAAGCCACGUGUUGGUAGCCGCUCGGGACAGGCCGGGCUGAAGCUACCUGUCGGCAGCUGCUCUGGACAGGCCGGGCUGAACCUGCCUGCUGGUAUGCUGUCUGCACAGACUGGUCUGAGGCUUGUUGGAAGGAGGUGCUUAGGGCAGGCUUAAGAUCCCUAGUUAGUGGCUGAAAGCUUGAAGUGUAGGUAGUUCCCUGAAAACUGAAUGCCCUUGAGCCUGCAUUGGUCAAACUACUAUCAAAGGCCUGAGUUUUUGAGAAGUCCUGGGUUUCCUCAAAAUAAGCUUCUUGACUAGGCACAAAUCCAGAAUCAGAGCUUGUCUGAGCAGUAGUACUUUCAGUGCUCCCAUCCUGAGCACCAUCUUUUGUACAAUGAUGCCUGUAAACUAAGUAUAGUUCACAUUCAAAGCAUGUAGUUUGUUAGAACUUUUCAUCUUGCUAAUGGAGAGUGAAAACUUACCACUUCCUGCAUCAGCAUAACUCAGUACUAGUAACAAAAUCCUGUUGAAAACAGAUAUAAUUAACAAAGAAAGCAAGCUGUUUUCUGUUAAAGAUCACUAAAUGAAAUCGACAUACCACAAAGGCUUCCAGAGUGUUUCUGCCAUUGCAAAAAUCAAAGCUCCAAAAACAACCCUGGCCACCCUCAAAAACAGACAAAUGUUUCUGUCCUACUUCUCCAAGCAGCCACAUGUUCCUUUAAUAUCAUCAAAAUGCACCUGCCCCACCUCUCCCUAUUGGCUGCUUGGAUGACGUGCUCACAUCACCUGUUUGUUGAGG